RNAcentral lists this long non-coding RNA (388 nucleotides) under Phasianus colchicus (ring-necked pheasant). Its description in RNAcentral is "lncRNA (ENSPCLG00000002339.1)". Lineage: Eukaryota; Metazoa; Chordata; Aves; Galliformes; Phasianidae. The record is from RNAcentral.
AUGAAACUAAAACUAGAACUUCUCGAUAUUUCUAGUAUACGUUCAGCUGCAAGAUACUGCUCCAACUCACCAGCCACAAGCAGCAAAAAAAAAAAAAAGAAGAGACUAAACAAGAAGGGUCUGCUGCUGAGAGGCAUCACAUCACAGGUAGCUGCAAGUUAUCAGCUCAGGUCCCGUGUACAUGAUGCUCUAACAGAAUGCCCCUAUGAAUGUUCAGCAGUAAACUGUGAAGUACAGACCCUGGGACCAACACUGAUGAAUGCUGAUCUGGAAACUGCCUUCAUUCACGAGCAGGAAACGCUCCUGUUUUAAAAGGCAAUUAAUUAUUAUAUUUUUAAUGUGGAAAUCUGGAAUGCACAUAAAUAAAUCCAUUAAAUAAGGAUUUACA